GAUAAACGCUAGCGGCGUGCCUUAUGCAUGCAAGUCGAACGGUCUAUCGAAAGAUAGAUAGUGGCAAACGGCUGAGUAACACGUAAGCAACCUGCCCUUAAGCGGGGAAUAACACCGGGAAACCGGUGCUAAUACCGCAUGUGGUAGUGGAGGUAGGUUUCCAUUACUAAAGCUUUCGGGCGCUUGAGGAGGGGCUUGCGUCCUAUCAGGUAGUUGGUGGGGUAACGGCCUACCAAGCCUAUGACGGGUAGCUGGUUUGAGAGGAUGUCCAGCCAGACGGGGACUGAGACACGGCCCCGACUCCUACGGGAGGCAG
Molecule: ribosomal RNA, 316 nt
Filed under: uncultured bacterium
Lineage: Bacteria
Description: bacterial SSU rRNA
Rfam family: Bacterial small subunit ribosomal RNA
Source: RNAcentral